Molecule: ribosomal RNA, 472 nt
Filed under: Bacillus cereus
Lineage: Bacteria; Bacillati; Bacillota; Bacilli; Caryophanales; Bacillaceae
Description: bacterial SSU rRNA
Rfam family: Bacterial small subunit ribosomal RNA
Source: RNAcentral
GUGAUCGGCCACACUGGGACUGAGACACGGCCCAGAACUCCUACGGGAGGCAGCAGUAGGGAAUCUUCCGCAAUGGACGAAAGUCUGACGGAGCAACGCCGCGUGAGUGAUGAAGGCUUUCGGGUCGUAAAACUCUGUUGUUAGGGAAGAACAAGUGCUAGUUGAAUAAGCUGGCACCUUGACGGUACCUAACCAGAAAGCCACGGCUAACUACGUGCCAGCAGCCGCGGUAAUACGUAGGUGGCAAGCGUUAUCCGGAAUUAUUGGGCGUAAAGCGCGCGCAGGUGGUUUCUUAAGUCUGAUGUGAAAGCCCACGGCUCAACCGUGGAGGGUCAUUGGAAACUGGGAGACUUGAGUGCAGAAGAGGAAAGUGGAAUUCCAUGUGUAGCGGUGAAAUGCGUAGAGAUAUGGAGGAACACCAGUGGCGAAGGCGACUUUCUGGUCUGUAACUGACACUGAGGCGCGAAAGCGU